UACGUAGGGUGCGAGCGUUAAUCGGAAUUACUGGGCGUAAAGCGUGCGCAGGCGGUUCGCUGUGUCCGAUGUGAAAGCCCCGGGCUUAACCUGGGAAUGGCAUUGGAAACUGGCGGGCUUGAGUGCGGCAGAGGGGGGUGGAAUUCCGCGUGUAGCAGUGAAAUGCGUAGAGAUGCGGAGGAACACCGAUGGCGAAGGCAGCCCCCUGGGCUGACACUGACGCUCAGGCACGAAAGCGUGGGGAGCAAACAGG
This 253-nucleotide ribosomal RNA is filed under the name uncultured bacterium. RNAcentral's name for it is "partial 16S ribosomal RNA". It matches the Rfam family "Bacterial small subunit ribosomal RNA", at positions 524 to 776 of the family's 1533-position model. The record is from RNAcentral.